This 253-nucleotide ribosomal RNA is filed under the name uncultured bacterium. RNAcentral's name for it is "partial 16S ribosomal RNA". It matches the Rfam family "Bacterial small subunit ribosomal RNA", at positions 524 to 776 of the family's 1533-position model. The record is from RNAcentral.
UACGUGGGGUGCGAGCGUUAAUCGGAAUUACUGGGCGUAAAGCGUGCGCAGGCGGCUUCGCAAGUCAGGCGUGAAAUCCCCGGGCUUAACCUGGGAAUGGCGUCUGAAACUACGGAGCUGGAGUGUGGCAGAGGGAGGUAGAAUUCCACGUGUAGCGGUGAAAUGCGUAGAUAUGUGGAGGAAUACCGGUGGCGAAGGCGGCAUCCUGGACCAUUACUGACGCUGAGGCGCGAAAGCUAGGGGAGCAAACGGG